CUACGUGCCAGCAGCCGCGGUAAUACGGAAGGUUCGGGCGUUAUCCGGAUUUAUUGGGUUUAAAGGGAGCGUAGGCCGUAGAUUAAGCGUGUUGUGAAAUGUAGAUGCUCAACAUCUGACUUGCAGCGCGAACUGGUUUACUUGAGUGUGCACAACGUAGGCGGAAUUCGUCGUGUAGCGGUGAAAUGCUUAGAUAUGACGAAGAACUCCGAUUGCGAAGGCAGCUUACGGGAGCACAACUGACGCUGAAGCUCGAAGGCGCGGGUAUCAAACAGGAUUAGAUACCCUGGUAGUCCGCACAGUAAACGCUGGAUGCCCGCUGUUGGCUCAUUAGAGUCAGCGGCCAAGCGAAAGCAUUAAGCAUCCCACCUGGGGAGUACGCCGGCAACGGUGAAACUCAAAGGAAUUGACGGGGGCCCGCACAAGCGGAGGAACAUGUGGUUUAAUUCGAUGAUACGCGAGGAACCUUACCCGGGCUUGAAUUGCAGACGAACGAUUCAGAGAUA
RNAcentral lists this ribosomal RNA (506 nucleotides) under uncultured bacterium. RNAcentral describes it as "bacterial SSU rRNA". It matches the Rfam family "Bacterial small subunit ribosomal RNA", at positions 501 to 1008 of the family's 1533-position model. The record is from RNAcentral.